This 874-nucleotide long non-coding RNA is filed under the name Durio zibethinus. RNAcentral describes it as "long non-coding RNA (DZIB_LNC000871)". Lineage: Eukaryota; Viridiplantae; Streptophyta; Magnoliopsida; Malvales; Malvaceae. The record is from RNAcentral.
UUUUUUUUUUUUGACAAAGUGUUCUCAAUUCAAAAAUUGGCCUUUCCUAUGUUAAAAAUUUAUUAGUCUUGAGAAGGCUUUUAGAAACACAGGAAAAACUGAUGAAACCUGUAAAAGUCUUAUGGGUAAGAUAAAGCUUUGUUGGCAGCUAAAAUUUAGUUGUUAUGGUGUUGUCAAAGGUGGUAGGGUGGCUUAGUAGGGGUUGUCUGAGGUGGUAGGGUGGCUAGGCACUGGUGAAGGCCCAUCGAUGCCAAUACAAAGGUGUAAGGUAGUUUGGUCUAGGUGGUGUUGUGUAAGGCACCAAGCUAUAGUUUUUUUUUUCCUUUUUUGUGUUAAUUUUUAAUUGAAAAGAAAAAGUUUUGAAUUUGGCUCUUUUCAAUUUGGUUUAUGAGCCUUCAAGCCCAAAUGGCCUAUUUUAAACUUUUAAUCUCGAAUGACCUAUGUAAUAGGCCCGUAUGGUCAAAUCCAAUCAUGGCUUAAACGGUUUAAAAUGGACUCAAAUCGAACAUAAAAAUUGUAAUUGAUUUUAAUUAACUCAGGCAAAAUUAAGUGUUUACAAUAAACUACAUACUUUUUUCAAAGCCAGAUCUUAAUGUAGAAAGGCAGUCUUGACUUCGGCCUUGAGCUUGAAGCGGAUCAAUUCCUUUGUAUCGAGGGACUGGCGAUUGUGGUGUCUUCGCAUCCCCGUAGCGGUGAAGCUCUCUCUUGUUCUGGUUGAAAGUGAAGGCGAAGGAGAGUGAAGUGAAUCGGUCCCGUCUACAGAGCAUGCCACUAUGCUUGACACAUGCAAUUGCUUUCUUGAACCGACUUUUACGAAAAUCUUUGUUCCUCUUCAAUAAUCAUUUGCAUAAAUAAUUAAAACCCAAUAAUCAAU